This 148-nucleotide non-coding RNA is filed under the name Chlorocebus sabaeus (green monkey). Lineage: Eukaryota; Metazoa; Chordata; Mammalia; Primates; Cercopithecidae. The record is from Rfam by way of RNAcentral.
GCCGGGUGUGGUGGUGGAUGCCUGUAAUCCCAGCUACAUGGGAGGCUGAGGCAGGAGAAUCACUUGAGCCCGGGAGGCGGACGUUGCAGUGAGCCAGGAUUGCACCACUGUACUCCAGCCUGGGCAACAAAGUGAGAUUCUGUCUCAA